Molecule: long non-coding RNA, 355 nt
Filed under: Equus caballus (horse)
Lineage: Eukaryota; Metazoa; Chordata; Mammalia; Perissodactyla; Equidae
Description: lncRNA (ENSECAG00000046715.1)
Source: RNAcentral
GAUACCAAAGCAGAAUGAUUCCAGGACUCCCUGCCUUCUGACACCCACGCCUUGAUUGUACUGAUCGGGGAAAGAAGUGGAGAGAAGAUCGGGGAAACAUAAAUUGUUUGGGAAGUUGAAAUCUAACUGCAUGAGAAAUGACAGGAAGUGAGCAAGAGGAGGUCCACGGAUCCUCUGGAAGCCAUCCAUGGACUCUGGGAGACCUGCUGGCUGGCUUCUUAAGGCUACUCAGAGAAUAUUUCUUCUACAUGGACCCCAAAUUUGUGCUUAACACGUGGGAGGUGUCAGAGUGGAAGCUGAGCGGAAGGGCAAUGCGGAAAAUGUUCAGGGCUUCUCUCUUUCACACCCUUCCAGG